This 253-nucleotide ribosomal RNA is filed under the name uncultured bacterium. RNAcentral describes it as "partial 16S ribosomal RNA". It matches the Rfam family "Bacterial small subunit ribosomal RNA", at positions 524 to 776 of the family's 1533-position model. The record is from RNAcentral.
UACGUAGGGGGCGAGCGUUGUCCGGAUUUAUUGGGCGUAAAGAGCGUGUAGGCGGCCAGGUAGGUCUGGUGUGAAAACUCGAGGCUUAACCUUGAGAUGUCAUCGGAAACCAUUUGGCUAGAGUCCGGAAGAGGAAAGUGGAAUUCCUGGUGUAGCGGUGAAAUGCGCAGAUAUCAGGAAGAACACCAAUGGCGAAAGCAGCUUUCUGGGACGGUACUGACGCUGAGACGCGAAAGCGUGGGGAGCGAACAGG